GUAGGGUGCAAGCGUUAAUCGGAAUUACUGGGCGUAAAGCGUGCGCAGGCGGUUUUGUAAGUCUGUCGUGAAAGCCCCGGGGCUUAACCUGGGGAAUUGCGAUGGAGACUGCAAGGCUUGAAUCUGGCAGAGGGGGGUAGAAUUCCACGUGUAGCAGUGAAAUGCGUAGAGAUGUGGAGGAACACCGAUGGCGAAGGCAGCCCCCUGGGUCAAGAUUGACGCUCAUGCACGAAAGCGUGGGGAGCAAACAGGAUUAGAUACCCUGGUAGUCCACGCCCUAAACGAUGUCUACUAGUUGUCGGGUCUUAAUUGACUUGGUAACGCAGCUAACGCGUGAAGUAGACCGCCUGGGGAGUACGGUCGCAAGAUUA
This 371-nucleotide ribosomal RNA is filed under the name uncultured organism. Its description in RNAcentral is "partial 16S ribosomal RNA". It matches the Rfam family "Bacterial small subunit ribosomal RNA", at positions 527 to 896 of the family's 1533-position model. The record is from RNAcentral.